Molecule: ribosomal RNA, 254 nt
Filed under: uncultured bacterium
Lineage: Bacteria
Description: partial 16S ribosomal RNA
Rfam family: Bacterial small subunit ribosomal RNA
Source: RNAcentral
UACAUGGGGUGCAAACGUUGCUCGGAAUUAUUGGGCGUAAAGCGCACGUAGGCGGUUCGUUAAGUCGGAUGUGAAAGCCCUCGGCUCAACUGAGGAAGUGCACCCGAAACUGGCGAGCUUGAGUACGAAAGAGGAUCGCGGAAUUCCCGGUGUAGAGGUGAAAUUCGUAGAUAUUCGCAAGAACACCAGUGGCGAAGGCGGCUCACUGGCCCGGUACUGACGCUGAGGCACGAAAGCGUGGGGAGCAAACAGGG